This is a long non-coding RNA of Equus caballus (horse), 4871 nucleotides long. RefSeq lists it as uncharacterized. The record is from RefSeq and is a predicted model, not a curated record. Lineage: Eukaryota; Metazoa; Chordata; Mammalia; Perissodactyla; Equidae.
GAGAGAGCUGAAGGAAAAUGACGAAGUCUGUUAACUCUUCCAGACAUGGUUUACACCACAUCUGCUCUCAUUCCAUUGGUGAAAGCGUGUCAUACGGCCAAGCCCAUUUCAACGGGGCAGGAUGUAUAUUCCUCUUAUUGGAGGCACUGCAGAUCACAUGCAGAGGCAAGGAAUUAAAGUUUUUGUACAGGGAAGGGGGAGUGCAAAUACUUGAGAAAAGCUUGCACUCCAUCAUAGAUUGUCAUUAUCUGGUAACCUUCAUAAUAGGAAGAGAGACAUGAUUAUGGCAUUAUGCAGACGUAUUUUCUAAAAAGCUAAAAUAAAUGCGGGGGUGUAAAAGUUGAACGUGGUCACAAAUGUAAAAGUCCUUAAUAUAUCAUAAAGAAUUAUGAAGUCUUAAUUUUAUUAUUAUUUCAGAAUAUUUAUGUGUGACACCUUAACUUCUUUACUCACAGAGGUAUCCUUUUGUCUCUCAUUCAAAUUUAAAUAUUUAUGUGUGACACCUUAACUGUUUUACUCACAGAGGUACCUUUUUGUCUCUCGUUCAAAUUUAAUUAACUUUAAUUUACUCACAAUUCCAAGAAGAAGAUUAGAAGUAGAAAGUUGUAGAUUGUGGUGGCAUGGAGCGCUCUGAAGGCAAACAGUGACAAAAGGAAGAGGCACAGUGUAGAGCAAAGGAGGUCAUAAGAAUAACUAUCUCAGAAAGCAGAGCUACUUGAGAUGACUUAUAGACAAUUUUGUGCAACUUAAUACCCCUCAGUAUACAACAAACUAUCUCUUUUUACUGUCAGGGCUGUGUCUUCUUAUUUUGUCUCAAAAUACAUUCCCUUCCACACAAGAUGCGGACACGGACAUACACACAAACAUGCACCUAUAGUCCCUAAUACAUGAAAAUCACAUGCAUUUGGCCCCUGAUUUCAGAAAAAUCACUAUUAUAACACAUAUGUACAUCAGUUUGGACAGACCAAGUUAUGCUGUAGUAAUAAACAACUCCCCAAAUUUUGGCGAAUGGCAAUAGCAGAGGUUUCUUUCUUUUUCAUGCUUCAUCUCCAACAUGAACAAGUGGGGGGUGGGAGGGAAGGCCCUGCUCAUCUUAGUUACCCAGGGCCUCUGGCUGGUGAAGUUUCCAUCUGAACACAUGCUUUACUGUGACUGAAGCAGCAAAAUGGAAGAUGGUGAAUCAUGCACAGGUUCUUGCAGCUUCUGUCUGGAAGUGCUACCUGUCACUUCUUAUUUGAUGGCCAAAGUGAAUCACAGAGCCACUUCAACAGGCAGAGGGAAAAGCAAGAGAAAAAUACACAACCCUUCAAGGCCAGGAAAAUGCAAUUCUGCCAUACACCCAAGGGGAAGAAUUAGAACUAUUUAGUGAAUGGUGUUAAUGACCAACACAAUGAGGUCCUACAUGUCUGGGUGUCCUGGAAAUACAGAACAACUUAGUUGGACAGCCUGUUUGGAUCUGAGAAAGAUGCAAGGCCCUGAGGAAGUGGGACACUAGGUUGGCGAGGUUGAUGGGGCAUGACAGGAGAAAAGAAGUCGCAUGAAGUGGUGCAAUGAGGAAGCCCAAGGACAGCUUCAGCCUCGGGGAGGGAACAAGUCCCCAAAGCACCAAAGAUUUUAGUGUCUUAAAAUCUUUUCUAAAACUCUUCCUGUUCUUCCUGCUUUACCUAGAGAGUUCGACUCCCUGUGAGUUCCUCAUAGUCCCCUUUCCCAGCAUUUCCAUUCUCGUCUUUCAAUACUAUUUGGGUCGACUGGCUCUUCACCCUCUGAUCCACCCCACAGCCUUGUUUUCCACAAGCAGAAGUCUGAGAAAGGCUGUGCUUAGCAUUUCCUCUUGUCUUUCUGUCGAACUCUGUGACAUGAGGAUUUGAGCUCUUGUGUGAACACGAAUUUAUGUGGUAUGGACUCCUAAAAGAGGCUGCUUCAUAUACUCUACCUGACCAGUUUCCCUUUAACUCUUGGAAGGGUGGCUUUGAAAUGAGAAUUGGGUGCAAGGGGUGUCCUAGAGGUCAACACUGUGAACAGAGGAAGGGGAAGGAACAGUUCUGCAAACGCAGAGGAGAAUCAAGAAGCAGAGCCCUGGUAAUAAGCUCAUGGCUUCCUAGAAGCACAGCACAAUGAGGAGCCUGGAAAUAUGCUCUGUCUCUUGAGAGCAAAACCUCACAGUCAGCUCUGGUCCUCCUACAAAGGGUGUUUCUGGAUCAUUGUUCUUUCCAACUGCAAUUAGUCAUACUUUUUCCUUGGUGGCCUGACAGAAAGAAGUAUUGGCCACACACUACUGUGGUAUGUGAACUUGCAGAGCUGGAAGGCAUUGCUGCUCACAUCCACGGCCCACUCUACUCUCGAGGAUCUACACUUUCUUUUUAAUGAGGCAAUGAGGCUGUGGGAAUCUCAGGCAUGAAACAUUUGUGGGAUAAUGGGCUGAAUGUUGGUAAGUCUCUUAAAUAAUAGAAGUCAGGACUGCAGACCUUAUGACCUCUGAGCUUCCAUAGAGACCUGGAUGGAGCUGAGUAUUGUUUGCAAGGCACUGGAUGCAUAAUUAUCUUUCCAGAUGGGUCCUCAGGAGACUAAGGCCCAGGAGAGCCUUGGAGUAUGUGUAUGGAUUUGUCUACAAGACCACACACAGCAUCAGCAGCCCUACUCUGCACAUCUCCAGUCCUGUCCAGUCAGGUCCUCCCCAGUUGACUCAGAACUUUCCAUGCUUUUCAGAGGUAUUUGCAGUCCAUUCUGCAGACUAGCCCUCAUUUGUCCUUUCUCAUUUGUACCCAAAUUGUCCUUCUUAAUGACCCUCCACUGUGGUUUGAACUUUCCUGCAUUGCUCAUACAUUAUCCCCUCAAUUUCAAUAGACCGUCGCCACUCUAAUUAUUCUUUAGCAUUGAGCUCAGACCUCAUUUUGCCCAUGAAUCCUUCCUAAUCACUCCUGCUAGAAGGCCUCUGGUCUCUUAUUUCCUAUUUUACACAUAGACCAGAACUCUCAUUCCCCCCACGCCCCAUUUUUCUCAUACACAUAGAGCCAUCUUGCAUCUAACAUUGUGUAUGUAUCUCAUACUCUCAAGAGUGAUAUUCUUAAAGACUGGGCUUAUAUGUGUGGGAAGUGGGGGAGGAAUGUAGAGAUGCAAAGACAUCUUACAUUCUUUUAUGUGUCUUGAUUGUCAGCUGAGUUUACUCUGCAUACUGAAACAUAAAUAAAAGUGUGUUACAUCCUCUGGGAAGUUCAGGGCUUCCCUUCCGAUUCCUACAAAUUCUGGGAGGUUUAUAGCCUCAUUCCCGUAAUUAGUUACCCUCCUUCCCAUUUCCUAUUUGUCUGAAUCUCGUACAUGUCUCAUCUCCUAAAGAUCUGAUCUUAGCUCUGCACCAAUCUAGACUUAGAAACUGCUCCUUUUCUUUGAUUUCCCUCGUAAUGUUGCUCAGAUGGAGCAUCUGUAGCAGAGGACUAUUUUGAAGUACUACCUAGAAUCCUUUUGGCACCAUGUAGUAAAAGUUGGAUACUUGAUACUGCUUUUCUUCAGCGUCGUUUCAGCACCCUUUGACUGAGGAAUUUCUCCUGUGCUAACAUUUCUCCAUGGGACUCCCCUAUGCAAUGGGAUGGGCCCUGAACACCAGAUCCCUGUCCUGUUGGCAUGUCUCCAAUGGCACAUAAGUCCCCAUGCACCCAGUUCUCCUUACGUUCCUUUCAGACUAAUUUAACGAUCUCUUUUCUUGCCAGCACAUUUCCAACCACAUCCUAGGUGCCUCAUCUGUCAUAUCCAAAGCAAAGGAACUGGUCAAGGGGGCAAGUAAAGGAGUCCAUCACACUGGAGAGCAGGCAUGCUGCUCACUCUCCCAGGGGCAGGAACAGCUCAAGUUGUGAUUGUGCCUACACUUGGUCACGCAGUAUAUCUUCAGGAAUGUUCAUUGGAAGGAGGAAUGAAGAAGAAAUUGACCCGUCCAUUUUCUCUUGCCUCUCUUUGGCCAAGAUGGCACUAUGAGGAAUUAACUACCUUGCAUUCCAGCUUGCUGCUGCAUUUGUGCAGGAAAUACUAAGCUUGCUGAUGAGAAAGGAGAAGAAAUAGAGAAAACAACGUACAGUUAGGCCUAUAGGAAUCUGCCGAGGGGAACUGACAAGCCCUGCUCAGUCUUGCCCACUGUCUGCUUGGAGGAUCAGGAUGAGUUUGUUUACUUGAGACUACAUAGGAGUCAAGAACACAUUAAUCCUGUAAUGAAUGGACACCUUGCCUCUUCUUAUCCUUGGCCUCCUUAUGAAACUACCACCAUCUUGUUGAAUUUGGGAAGUUUGUUGCUUUAUCAUUUCUUACUAUAGAGAAAUCUAAAUGGCAUAACAUUGUAAUACAAUUGUAACCUUUACAUUCUCUUAAAUAUAUCUGGAGCAAUUUUCCAUUUUAUUACAUAAUCUUCUACAGCACAAUUUUAAUAAAACUAUGAGUAUUCCAUUAUAUGAUUGCAUUAUACAUUUUUACCUUUGAUAUGAAUACAUUAUGGUUGUAAAAUGUUCUUGCAGUAUACGAAUCAAUAUAUACGGCUGGCUGCCCUCACUAUCAGAACUCACUGGCCCCUCGAGAGUUAGUCAUCAUCCAUGUCUUGAAGUUCACUGGUUUGGCAUUUUAUAUAUAGAUUAACAAAGUUUAUUCUUUUAAAAAUAUAAAUAUUAAAUAUUGAAUGGACAUAAUUAGAUAGAAAGGUAUAUUUCUAAAAUAUGUAGAGUAUAAAAAUUCCAAUACUAUGAAACCUGCAGAUCCAACUAGCCAGCCUCAGAAAUAGAACAUUACUGAUGCCUCAGAAGCCACCCGCUAGCUCUCCCCAGCUGCAUUCUCCUCCCUAGCAUCCAAUGGUUAUCACUAUCUGAAAUUUUCUGUAAAUCAUUCACAAGCUUUGC